GAUGAACGCUGGCGGCGUGCUUAACACAUGCAAGUCGAGCGCGUCUGAUUUGAUGCUUGCAUUGAUGAAAGAUGAGCGGCGGACGGGUGAGUAACGCGUGGGUAACCUGCCCUAUACACAUGGAUAACAUACUGAAAAGUUUACUAAUACAUGAUAAUAUAUAUUUACGGCAUCGUAGAUAUAUCAAAGUGUUAGCGGUAUAGGAUGGACCCGCGUCUGAUUAGCUAGUUGGUGAGAUAACUGCCCACCAAGGCGACGAUCAGUAGCCGACCUGAGAGGGUGAUCGGCCACAUUGGAACUGAGACACGGUCCAAACUCCUACGGGAGGCAGCAGUGGGGAAUAUUGCACAAUGGGCGCAAGCCUGAUGCAGCAACGCCGCGUGAACGAUGAAGGUCUUCGGAUCGUAAAGUUCUGUUGCAGGGGAAGAUAAUGACGGUACCCUGUGAGGAAGCCCCGGCUAACUACGUGCCAGCAGCCGCGGUAAUACGUAGGGGGCUAGCGUUAUCCGGAUUUACUGGGCGUAAAGGGUGCGUAGGUGGUCUCUCAAGUCGGUGGUUAAAGGCUACGGCUCAACCGUAGUUAGCCUCCGAAACUGGAAGACUUGAGUGCAGGAGAGGAAAGUGGAAUUCCCAGUGUAGCGGUGAAAUGCGUAGAUAUUGGGAGGAACACCAGUAGCGAAGGCGGCUUUCUGGACUGCAACUGACACUGAGGCACGAAAGCGUGGGUAGCAAACAGG
This 737-nucleotide ribosomal RNA is filed under the name Peptostreptococcus anaerobius. RNAcentral's name for it is "bacterial SSU rRNA". It matches the Rfam family "Bacterial small subunit ribosomal RNA", at positions 28 to 776 of the family's 1533-position model. Lineage: Bacteria; Bacillati; Bacillota; Clostridia; Peptostreptococcales; Peptostreptococcaceae. The record is from RNAcentral.